UCCUACGGGAGGCAGCAGUAGGGAAUCUUCCGCAAUGGACGAAAGUCUGACGGAGCAACGCCGCGUGAGUGAUGAAGGCUUUCGGGUCGUAAAACUCUGUUGUUAGGGAAGAACAAGUGCUAGUUGAAUAAGCUGGCACCUUGACGGUACCUAACCAGAAAGCCACGGCUAACUACGUGCCAGCAGCCGCGGUAAUACGUAGGUGGCAAGCGUUAUCCGGAAUUAUUGGGCGUAAAGCGCGCGCAGGUGGUUUCUUAAGUCUGAUGUGAAAGCCCACGGCUCAACCGUGGAGGGUCAUUGGAAACUGGGAGACUUGAGUGCAGAAGAGGAAAGUGGAAUUCCAUGUGUAGCGGUGAAAUGCGUAGAGAUAUGGAGGAACACCAGUGGCGAAGGCGACUUUCUGGUCUGUAACUGACACCGAGGCGCGAAAGCGUGGGGAGCAAACAGGAUUAGAUACCCUGGUAGUCCACGCCGUAAACGAUGAGUGCUAAGUGUUAGAGGGUUUCCGCCCUUUAGUGCUGAAGUUAACGCAUUAAGCACUCCGCCUGGGGAGUACGGCCGCAAGGCUGAAACUCAAAGGAAUUGACGGA
Molecule: ribosomal RNA, 590 nt
Filed under: uncultured bacterium
Lineage: Bacteria
Description: bacterial SSU rRNA
Rfam family: Bacterial small subunit ribosomal RNA
Source: RNAcentral